Molecule: ribosomal RNA, 445 nt
Filed under: uncultured bacterium
Lineage: Bacteria
Description: SSU rRNA
Rfam family: Bacterial small subunit ribosomal RNA
Source: RNAcentral
AGAACGAACGCUGGCGGCAUGCCUAACACAUGCAAGUCGAACGAGACCUUCGGGUCUAGUGGCGCACGGGUGCGUAACGCGUGGGAAUCUGCCCUGGGGUACGGAACAACAGUUAGAAAUGACUGCUAAUACCGUAUGAUGACGUAAGUCCAAAGAUUUAUCGCCCUGGGAUGAGCCCGCGUAGGAUUAGCUUGUUGGUGAGGUAAAGGCUCACCAAGGCGACGAUCCUUAGCUGGUCUGAGAGGAUGAUCAGCCACACUGGGACUGAGACACGGCCCAGACUCCUACGGGAGGCAGCAGUGGGGAAUAUUGGACAAUGGGCGAAAGCCUGAUCCAGCAAUGCCGCGUGAGUGAUGAAGGCCCUAGGGUUGUAAAGCUCUUUACCCGGGAUGAUAAUGACAGUACCGGGAGAAUAAGCCCCGGCUAACUCCGUGCCAGCAGCCGC